GACGAACGCUGGCGGCGUGCUUAACACAUGCAAGUCGAACGGUGAAGCGCCUUCCUUUUUGGUGGGUGUGGAUGAGUGGCGAACGGGUGAGUAACACGUGAGUAACCUGCCCCCUUCUUCUGGAUAACCGCAUGAAAGUGUGGCUAAUACGGGAUAUUCUGGGUCUGUCGCAUGAUGGGUCUGGGAAAGAUAUUGUUUCGGUGGGGGAUGGGCUCGCGGCCUAUCAGCUUGUUGGUGGGGUGAUGGCCUACCAAGGCGGUGACGGGUAGCCGGCCUGAGAGGGUGGACGGUCACACUGGGACUGAGACACGGCCCAGACUCCUACGGGAGGCAGCAGUGGGGAAUAUUGCACAAUGGGCGCAAGCCUGAUGCAGCGACGCCGCGUGAGGGAAGGAGGCCUUCGGGUUGUGAACCUCUUUCGCCAGUGAAGCAGGCCUGCCUCGUUUGUGGGUGGGUUGACGGUAGCUGGAUAAGAAGCGCCGGCUAACUACGUG
RNAcentral lists this ribosomal RNA (494 nucleotides) under uncultured bacterium. RNAcentral's name for it is "partial 16S ribosomal RNA". It matches the Rfam family "Bacterial small subunit ribosomal RNA", at positions 28 to 507 of the family's 1533-position model. The record is from RNAcentral.